CAUUUGGUCGCCCAGCUCCAAUCACUUCAUGACAAAUGUAUUGUUUUAUUUUUCAAGUUUUAAGCUCAGCGCGUUUAUUUUCAGAUUCAAGUACGAGUUUUUUUUUUUUUUCAAGUUCAAAACUUUUGACCCCAAAAGCUUUUCCAUAUUUAAUCGAUUGGAUAUUUAUGCAGGUGUACAUCACUUUCAUUUGUAUCGUUUUUAUUAACUAAAUAUUCCAACAGUUCUUAUAAUAGCAUUGUGUUCCCGCCUAACUAUGAGAAAACGAGUGUUCUAUGAGAAAGAAUGUUCCGCUCAAAAAAUGUUGACGCAGCAGACGUGAGGAAUAUUCAACAAAAAAAGCGUCAGUUCAAAAUCAAGAGCGUCAAU
Syngnathus acus (greater pipefish) is the source of this 369-nucleotide long non-coding RNA. RefSeq lists it as uncharacterized. The transcript has 2 exons. Lineage: Eukaryota; Metazoa; Chordata; Actinopteri; Syngnathiformes; Syngnathidae. The record is from RefSeq and is a predicted model, not a curated record.